This is a long non-coding RNA of Mandrillus leucophaeus (drill), 672 nucleotides long. RefSeq lists it as uncharacterized. The record is from RefSeq and is a predicted model, not a curated record. The transcript is spliced from 3 exons. NCBI's taxonomy places the organism in Eukaryota, Metazoa, Chordata, Mammalia, Primates, Cercopithecidae.
CCAAGAGGGAGGGCUGGGGAGAAGGGAAGCCCCAAGGGGGAGUUUCAGGGCCCUGAGCUAGGCUUGAGAGGCAGCGCUGGGUAGGACUGAGAGGAGCAAGCAUGGUGGGAGGCCCCAACCUCAGACCACACUCACCGGGGUUUCCAGAGGUCUCCAAGAGGCAAGGAUAUUUGGUGGCCCUGCUUCACCCAACUGUUCUUCUAGCAUUCUCCACAUCGUGUGCUAUAAGUUGGAUUUGAUCAGAAUUCUCACUCCUGGUUCUAAGUCAGAAUCACCUGGAGAGCAGGCAGCAGAAGGUCUGAAAGCUCCCUAUGGUCCAGAACUGCUGGAUGGGACCAUUAGUGGGACCCCUCACCUGCAGGCCAUGAGGACCGUUUUAUGGGCUCUAAACUGCUCACGGCUCACAACAAUGACAACAUCAGUCAAGAUGUCUCGACUCCGGAGACGAUUAAGGUUGAGAAGAACAUCACUGGCAUGGCGGGUGAACUGGAUGCAGCUGUCAGCCGGCGAGGCCAUUUUGUCUUCACUUGAAAAAAGAAGCCAAAAUCCUGUUAGUCCCCCAGAACCUGUUUCCUGCUUGCCAUGGGUAUCAGAGCAGGUGGCUCAGCCUGCUAAGGUACGGAAUGCAACUGAGGUCCCUUGUGUUUGAUCUUUGAACAAUUCAUAGCCCAA